RNAcentral lists this ribosomal RNA (253 nucleotides) under uncultured bacterium. RNAcentral's name for it is "partial 16S ribosomal RNA". It matches the Rfam family "Bacterial small subunit ribosomal RNA", at positions 524 to 776 of the family's 1533-position model. The record is from RNAcentral.
UACGUAGGUGGCGAGCGUUGUCCGGAUUUACUGGGCGUAAAGAGCGCGCAGGCGGCUGGUCAAGUCCGAUGUGAAAGCUCCCGGCUUAACUGGGAAAUUGCAUCGGAAACUGAUCGGCUGGAAGGUGGGAGAGGGUAGCGGAAUUCCCGGUGUAGUGGUGAAAUGCGUAGAUAUCGGGAGGAACACCAGUGGCGAAGGCGGAUCUCUGGGCCUUACCUGACGCUCAGGCGCGAAAGCUAGGGGAGCAAACAGG